CGCAGGGAGUCGGGGAGAGCUCCGCGCCCGGGCGCGGCGAGGCGGGGUCUGAUGGGCAUGGCAGGCGCUCGCUCGCUCCUCUCCUGCUCCCUAGCUCGCUCCCUCACACGCGGGCGGAGGGAGGCGAAGCCCGCAGCAGCCACUUCCCAACUUUCCAAACUUCCCAGCGCAACUUUUUCCUCUCCUCCCCUGCCCACGCCUCCUCCUCCCGCUUCCCCUUCCCCUUCCCCUCUCCAGCUCCCCGCGGGCCGCAGCUUCAGCGCGCGGCCGCCAGAGGGCGACCGGGCCGAGGCCCGAAGGGCCAACUUUAAUCCGGCUGCGCGUUGGAUGCGGACUGGCCCGGCAGCGACAAAUGUGGGGAGAAGGACCAGACAGGUCCUGGAGGAGUGAACAGCGAGAGAGGAGAAAGGCAGGCGUGGACAAGCGCUCCCAGACUGGCUGGAAGGCAGCACUCAAAAGAAACCCAGGGAAGCUGGAUCCUGGUGAGGGGUCCUGGAAGGGCAAGGAUUCAUAUCCCAGUUCCUUAGACCAUAAGAAUUGAAAGAGCCCUUAAAACCAGCUUCCUUCUGUUCUGGAGAGGCAAGUGAAACUUACAGAAGACCAAGAGGCAAGAUCCAAGCUUCUGGACCGUUUCCCGCCAAUGGGGAAACUGAGUCAUGGGCACCACCGCUUACUUGUGUUGCGAAGAGUUCACUGACUCUUCCUAUGCUGAUGUUAGAGACUGAAGGAUGAACGAGGUCAGAAAUAAUGAGUGUGCGCAGUUUCAUCUGGUUCCACCUGCUGGGUGUCCGCGCCACCUCGACUCUUUGCUGUGCACACUUCUGGUGACAGAUGCAGAUCAGGCCAGUGGGCCCAGAUGGUGCAAGAGGACAGUGCGGCUCCGUGCUUCCGACACACAGCGCUCUGAGAACUGCAGCUGUGACCAAAGAGAAGUCCUUUAAAGAGCCUCCACUCCUCAAGGCUCCAAAACUCCCUACAGAGCCACCACUCCCCAUGAUGAGGACGAGGUGAGAAGCUUGAGAGGUGGGAGGAGAAUUUAACUCCACUGAGAGGGAGUGUAAUGGUCUUCACGGGGAACUAGAACAUAAGGGAGACAGUGGGUAAGAAAGGACCUGAUCAAAUUCAAAACGAAUCCAUAUAAUUAAAGUGAUGGUGCACGUGACUAUGUAUGAUUUUUAAAAUGUUCCAGGCCUUUGUUCCUGAAGUUAUAAAUGUUUCAUCGACUAAAUUUCACAAGUGCCAGCUAUGACUUCCUCCUCCAUGGUCCUUUCCUAUGGCUGUGUGACCAGUGUCCAAACAGUUAACCUCUCUGUGCCUCUCUUGCUUCAUCCAGCUUCCUGUCCUCACUAUUUUUCUGAGUCAAUGUGUGCAAUAAUCCUUUAGAAUCUCCACCGGUAUGGUUACUGAUAUUGUUAAUGAGAUGCAAGAACAAACAGGUUUUUCCACUCAUGGAAAAAGAGAACCGAAAGCAUCUCCACCCAAGAGAACCGAAAGCAUCCGUCCACACAAAAACUUGUACACAGAUGUUGAUAGAAGCACUAUUCAGAAUAGCUAAAGGGGACAGCCAACCCAAAUGUCCAGCAGCUGAUGAAUGGAUAUAUAAAAUGUGGUAUAUUCAUAUGAUGGAAUACUAUUUGGCCAUGAAAAAAUAACGAAGUGCUGAUACAUUGCCACAAUAUGGCUCAAUCUUGAAAAGAUUAUGCUAAAUAAAAGAAGCCAGUUACAAAAGGACAUAUAUAAUAUGAUUCCAUUUAUAGGAAAUGUCAAGAAUAGGCAAACGUAGAGAGGCAGACAGGCGGUCAGUGGUUGCUUAGGGCCAGGAGGCAUGGAGAGAUGGGGGACCGUGGCUAAAGGGGAUUGCAUUUUUUGGGUAAUAAUGAAAAUAUUCUAAAAUUGAUUGUGGUGAUGGUUGCACAACUCUGUGA
Long non-coding RNA from Aethalodelphis obliquidens (Pacific white-sided dolphin), 1925 nucleotides. RefSeq lists it as uncharacterized. The record is from RefSeq and is a predicted model, not a curated record. Lineage: Eukaryota; Metazoa; Chordata; Mammalia; Artiodactyla; Delphinidae. The transcript has 3 exons.